GGAGAGGUGUCCGAGUUGGCCGAAGGAGCACGACUGGAAAUCGUGUCCUCGCCGAAACGCGGGGCGCGGGUUCGAAUCCCGCCCUCUCCG
This 90-nucleotide transfer RNA is filed under the name Candidatus Stahliibacteriota bacterium CG08_land_8_20_14_0_20_40_26. RNAcentral describes it as "bacterium (Candidatus Stahlbacteria) CG08_land_8_20_14_0_20_40_26 tRNA-Ser". It matches the Rfam family "tRNA". Rfam says of the family: Transfer RNA (tRNA) molecules are approximately 80 nucleotides in length. Their secondary structure includes four short double-helical elements and three loops (D, anti-codon, and T loops). Lineage: Bacteria; Candidatus Stahliibacteriota. RNAcentral also lists the same sequence under 2 other names. The record is from RNAcentral.